Molecule: ribosomal RNA, 816 nt
Filed under: uncultured Bacillota bacterium
Lineage: Bacteria; Bacillati; Bacillota
Description: bacterial SSU rRNA
Rfam family: Bacterial small subunit ribosomal RNA
Source: RNAcentral
CAAGUCGAACGCGAAAGUUCCCUUCGGGGGACAAGUAGAGUGGCGCACGGGUGAGUAACACGUAGGUAAUCUACCUUCGGGUGGGGAAUAACAACCGGAAACGGUUGCUAAUACCGCAUAAUGCAGCGGCACCUAAUGGUGACAGUUGUUAAAGCGGGGGAUCGAAAGAUCUCGCGCCUGAAGAGGAGCCUGCGGCGGAUUAGCUAGUUGGUAGGGUAACGGCCUACCAAGGCGACGAUCCGUAGCCGGCCUGAGAGGGCGGUCGGCCACACUGACACUGACAUACGGGUCAGACUCCUACGGGAGGCAGCAGUCGGGAAUUUUGGGCAAUGGGCGAAAGCCUGACCCAGCAACGCCGCGUGAAGGAUGAAAUCCCUCGGGAUGUAAACUUCGCAAGAACGGGAAGAAUAAGUCUAUGUUAAUACCAUAGGCGAUGACGGUACCGUUUGUAAGCUCCGGCUAACUCCGUGCCAGCAGCCGCGGUAAUACGGGGGGAGCAAGCGUUGUUCGGAUUUACUGGGCGUAAAGGGCGCGUAGGCGGCCACCGCAAGUCAGUUGUGAAAUCUCCGAGCUUAACUCGGAAAGGUCAACUGAUACUGCGGGGCUAGAGUGCGGAAGGGGCAACUGGAAUUCUUGGUGUAGCGGUGAAAUGCGUAGAUAUCAAGAGGAACACCUGCGGCGAAGGCGGGUUGCUGGGCCGACACUGACGCUGAGGCGCGAAAGCUAGGGGAGCGAACGGGAUUAGAUACCCCGGUAGUCCUAGCCUUAAACGAUGAAUGCUUGGUGUCUGGGGUUAUAUAGUCCCCGGGUGCCGUC